CCCUUAGAUGUUCUGGGCCGCACGCGCGCUACAAUGAUGAAUUCAACGAGUUUAUAACCUUGGUUGAAAAGCCUGGGUAAUCUUUUGAACUUUCGUCGUGAUGGGGCUAGACCCUUGCAAUUAUUGGUCUCCAACGAGGAAUUCCUAGUAAACGCAAGUCAUCAGCUUGCAUUGAUUACGUCCCUGCCCUUUGUACCCACCGCCCGUCGCACCUACCGAUUGAAUGGUCCGGUGAAAUCUUCGGAUUGAGACUUUGAUUUCUUCACGGAAAACGCUGUUUUAAAAAGUUGAUUAAACCUUACCAUUUAGAGGAAGGUGAAGUCGUAACA
RNAcentral lists this ribosomal RNA (329 nucleotides) under uncultured eukaryote. RNAcentral's name for it is "partial 18S ribosomal RNA". It matches the Rfam family "Eukaryotic small subunit ribosomal RNA", at positions 1470 to 1796 of the family's 1831-position model. The record is from RNAcentral.